CGUAGGGCGCAAGCGUUGUCCGGAAUUAUUGGGCGUAAAGAGCUUGUAGGUGGCUUGUCGCGUCUGCCGUGAAAACCCGAGGCUUAACCUUGGGCGUGCGGUGGGUACGGGCAGGCUAGAGUGCGGUAGGGGAGACUGGAAUUCCUGGUGUAGCGGUGAAAUGCGCAGAUAUCAGGAGGAACACCGAUGGCGAAGGCAGGUCUCUGGGCCGUUACUGACACUGAGAAGCGAAAGCAUGGGGGAGCGAACAGGAUU
This 255-nucleotide ribosomal RNA is filed under the name uncultured bacterium. RNAcentral's name for it is "partial 16S ribosomal RNA". It matches the Rfam family "Bacterial small subunit ribosomal RNA", at positions 526 to 779 of the family's 1533-position model. The record is from RNAcentral.